Molecule: ribosomal RNA, 253 nt
Filed under: uncultured bacterium
Lineage: Bacteria
Description: partial 16S ribosomal RNA
Rfam family: Bacterial small subunit ribosomal RNA
Source: RNAcentral
UACAGAGGGUGCAAGCGUUGUUCGGAAUUAUUGGGCGUAAAGCGCACGUAGGCGGCAAGGCAAGUCAGGUGUGAAAGCCCCGAGCUUAACUCGGGAAUUGCAUCUGAAACUGCUGUGCUUGAGUUCUGGAGGGGGUAGUGGAAUUCCCAGUGUAGCGGUGAAAUGCGUAGAUAUUGGGAGGAACACCUGCGGCGAAGGCGGCUACCUGGACAGAAACUGACGCUGAGGCGCGAAAGCUAGGGGAGCGAACGGG